RNAcentral lists this ribosomal RNA (522 nucleotides) under Clostridioides difficile. RNAcentral describes it as "bacterial SSU rRNA". It matches the Rfam family "Bacterial small subunit ribosomal RNA", at positions 1017 to 1533 of the family's 1533-position model. The record is from RNAcentral. Lineage: Bacteria; Bacillati; Bacillota; Clostridia; Peptostreptococcales; Peptostreptococcaceae.
CUUCGGGGACAUUGGUGACAGGUGGUGCAUGGUUGUCGUCAGCUCGUGUCGUGAGAUGUUGGGUUAAGUCCCGCAACGAGCUCAACACUUGUCUUUAGUUGCCAUCAUUAAGUUGGGCACUCUAGAGAGACUGCCAGGGAUAACCUGGAGGAAGGUGGGGAUGACGUCAAAUCAUCAUGCCCCUUAUGCUUAGGGCUACACACGUGCUACAAUGGGUAGUACAGAGGGUUGCCAAGCCGUAAGGUGGAGCUAAUCCCUUAAAGCUACUCUCAGUUCGGAUUGUAGGCUGAAACUCGCCUACAUGAAGCUGGAGUUACUAGUAAUCGCAGAUCAGAAUGCUGCGGUGAAUGCGUUCCCGGGUCUUGUACACACCGCCCGUCACACCACGGGAGUUGGAGACGCCCGAAGCCGAUUAUCUAACCUUUUGGAAGAAGUCGUCGAAGGUGGAAUCAAUAACUGGGGUGAAGUCGUAACAAGGUAGCCGUAUCGGAAGGUGCGGCUGGAUCACCUCCUUUCUAAGGA